UCGCCGCUAGUCUGUCUCUCAGCUUGAUGUCAAGAAUGCCUACAAGUAGCCACCACCUAGGUUCUCUUCCUAAUGGCAUGGUUUGUCGUCUUCGUCGCUGUCUAUAUGGCCCUAAGCAAACUCCUCAGGCCUGGUUUGAGCGCUUCGUCUCAGUGGUGAUUGCGGCUAGUUUUUGGCGAGUGCUCAUAGUACUACACAUCCGAUCCACCAUUCAGCUCGUGGUCGAACACUACUUCUACAUGUUGAUCAUCACUAGCAACGACUCUAAGUACAUUACCUUGGUGAAGGCUCGUCAUAGUGAAUUUCUUAUGUCCGAUCUUGGUCCUCUUUGGUACUUCCUUGAGAUUGAGGUUUAUUCUACCUCUAAUGACUUCUUUAUUUUCUAAGAGAAGUAUGUCCAGGAUCUUCUUACUCGUGCUACUCUUUCUGAUGAGCGCACUGUUGAGACUCCUAUGGAGUCAACGUCCACCUUUGUGACCACCUCCGCUCCCUACGAGUCUGGAUGGGCAUCCUUUGCCUUGCUGCGGGUUGCUACAAGCACUGUCUCAAUCCCACAUCCCGUGUUCCCUUUGUGUGACACCAUAACCGCGUGCUCGAGCGCCACCAAUGGUGAGCAGGAGCUCGGACAAUCAACGCGUACCUGGAUUAUGCACGGGACGAGCCGAAGACAGGCGCUACCUAAAGUCGAGGCCAAGGGCGCACAGGAGGAGAACCUGGGGUGUUUAAUCAAGCACGUGGCACACAACCCGCAAUCAGGAAAGGAACACCCAGUCGGAUCGUCGGGGUACGAAGAGUGCACAGGCAAGUGGGAUGCUGGAUCAAGUCCCUCUACUGUCAGUGCCGCCAGUCUCUUCCUCUGUUGCCUUGUCUACCAGAUAUUUUCAAGAGUGGCAUCAUCGCCUUGGGUCACUUGUGAUCUCUCAUCCUUAGUUCGACGUGAUCUUCUUGGAUCCGUCUCCAAUGAUGUCUCUAAUACGUGGUCCAGUUACCUUAUACUCAUAGCGAGACAGUGUCUCAGCAUCCUUUAGACCUUGUUCACUCUGAUCUCGAGGGAUCAUCUCCUUUUGCCUCCGCUAGUGACUUCUC
Molecule: non-coding RNA, 1086 nt
Organism: Aegilops tauschii subsp. strangulata
Lineage: Eukaryota; Viridiplantae; Streptophyta; Magnoliopsida; Poales; Poaceae
Source: RefSeq, a predicted model, not a curated record